This 78-nucleotide transfer RNA is filed under the name Magnetococcales bacterium. RNAcentral describes it as "tRNA-Ile". It matches the Rfam family "tRNA". Rfam says of the family: Transfer RNA (tRNA) molecules are approximately 80 nucleotides in length. Their secondary structure includes four short double-helical elements and three loops (D, anti-codon, and T loops). Lineage: Bacteria; Pseudomonadati; Pseudomonadota; Magnetococcia; Magnetococcales. The record is from RNAcentral.
GGGAGUGUCGCCAAGUCUGGUUAAGGCCCACGUCUGAUACGCGUGUAUGCACAGGUUCAAAUCCUGUUUCUCCCACCA